ACCCGCACAAGCGGUGGAGGAUGUGGUUAAUUCGACGCAACGCGAAGAACCUUACCUAGGCUUGACAUGCUGGUGAAACCAUGGAACAUGGUCCUCCGUAAGGGACAUCAGUACAGGUGGUGCAUGGCUGUCGUCAGCUCGUGUCGUGAGAUGUUGGGUUAAGUCCCGCAACGAGCGCAACCCUUGUCUUUAGUUGCCAUCAUUAAGUUGGGCACUCUAAAGAGACUGCCGGUGUCAAACCGGAGGAAGGUGGGGAUGACGUCAAGUCCUCAUGGCCUUUAUGACCAGGGCUACACACGUACUACAAUGGCAGGUACAAAGGGCAGCCACUUAGUGAUAAGGCGCGAAUCCCGUAAAACCUGUCUCAGUCCGGAUUGGAGUCUGCAACUCGACUCCAUGAAGUUGGAAUCGCUAGUAAUCGCAGAUCAGCACGCUGCGGUGAAUACGUUCCCGGGCCUU
RNAcentral lists this ribosomal RNA (459 nucleotides) under uncultured Desulfocapsa sp. RNAcentral describes it as "bacterial SSU rRNA". It matches the Rfam family "Bacterial small subunit ribosomal RNA", at positions 919 to 1382 of the family's 1533-position model. The record is from RNAcentral. Lineage: Bacteria; Pseudomonadati; Thermodesulfobacteriota; Desulfobulbia; Desulfobulbales; Desulfocapsaceae.